Molecule: non-coding RNA, 255 nt
Filed under: Lachnospiraceae bacterium
Lineage: Bacteria; Bacillati; Bacillota; Clostridia; Lachnospirales; Lachnospiraceae
Description: T-box sequence
Rfam family: T-box leader
About the family: Uncharged tRNA acts as the effector for transcription antitermination of genes in the T-box leader family. T-boxes are found upstream of many aminoacyl-tRNA synthetase genes and some amino acid biosynthetic genes usually in Gram-positive bacteria. The anticodon of a specific tRNA base pairs to a specifier sequence within the T-box motif, and the NCCA acceptor tail of the tRNA base pairs to a conserved bulge in the T-box antiterminator hairpin.
Source: RNAcentral
UAAAAACUGGUGAUCAAGAGGAGUACAUACUUUGGGAGAUUUUCAGAGAGCCGCAGGCGGUGUGAUUGCGGCAGUCAAAGAGGUAUGGAAUGGACUUGAGAAGGUGGGAGCAACGAGCCGACGGCUUUAGUAAUGCCCAACGGGAUUUCCGCCCGUUAUCAAGGGAAAGCGUAUGAUAGUACGUGUGGAGAGAGGGUGCAUUUUUAUGUGCCAAAUUAGGUGGUACCGCAGAAGGUUUAAGCUUUUGUCCUAGUA